GUAUUGUGACAUACAGAUAACCUGGGCUCAUAGAAAAUGUUGACGUGUGAAGUGGGUCCCUGGUUCGCGCCCAGCACGAACAGCACAGGGAUAGAUCACAAAAAACAACUAAUUCAUCACAUUAGCAGAAAAAAAUAUUGUUAUCAGAUUACAUAUACUUUUGAAAAACUAGAUGACUUCGUGUUUACUUUUAAAUUCAGAAAAGAUAAUUGCGGAAAAAAAAUCUUUGGCACUAAUCUUUUCUUAAUAACAUUCAAAUCAGCAUUGUAAAAAGGAGCACAUUUUAAAUUUGAAAAACGUGAGCGAGUCUGACCAUAAAUCAGAGACCACUAUGAUGACACACCAAAUGUGUUUGAUGGAUCGCGGGAAAAGAGCACAAAUAGACUUUUGUACCCUGCAGUCAAAGCUAUGUCUUCCAAUGGUGCGACUGCUGUCGGCAUCCAAAGAUUAUCCGACUUGAAUAAACGCUUGGAGGCAGGGGGGAAACCCGCCCUGCCUCUACCAUGGAAGAAACACUGCUGAUGAGAUUCGUUGAGCAGUACUCCCUGUGACUGGACCGAAAUACUACACAACGAAAGCCAAGGAAGCAGGAGAUAAGCAGAAUGAAGAAAUUAAAAACGGGACCAAAGGUCCACAGCCCAAUCAAGCUAAUCUGGGAGCAAACAGAGCAGAAGCAGCCGCAAGUCCUCAAUAGAGGAUAAGCCAAACUGAUCAAAUCAAAAUAAGUCCCAGAGAGGACCACAGCUACAACAAUCACUUUUAACCCUCAGAUAUAGGAGUCAAAUAGAUUUUUCAAAUACUUGUGCUACUUCAUUUAGUUUGUCCAGUAAAUUGUAAAGUACUGGAAUGGUUACAACAAAUCUCCAAUUGCACAUUUCAAUCGCCCCUCAAAGUAUUAGAAAAUAUUUGAGAUGUAUUUGACCAAGGUCUGAUAAUCACUGCUUCAUUCUUGUGCUUUAACAUCCAUUUAAGACGUGGUAAAAAUCCUGAGCGGGCACAAAAUACGUGAGAAUACCUGGGGGGUGGUCUGGAAGGGGGCUCUGUCAGGAAGUUAGCAUUUUUCAAACACCUGAAACGGCUUUUUCCUGAGAAAUGGCUUUUUCCUAAUCAUUAUGCUUAAGUCGGUUAAAAAAAUAAAAAAUCUGCAUGUCUAACUGUACCUUUUGAGCUGUCUGUGUCCUCCUGAUUGGUGGUUAUUUUGUUAAAGAAACUAAACAUGCUACUCUGCAUCGCUG
RNAcentral lists this long non-coding RNA (1235 nucleotides) under Salmo salar (Atlantic salmon). RNAcentral's name for it is "lncRNA (ENSSSAG00000121848.1)". Lineage: Eukaryota; Metazoa; Chordata; Actinopteri; Salmoniformes; Salmonidae. The record is from RNAcentral.